Long non-coding RNA from Oncorhynchus tshawytscha (Chinook salmon), 442 nucleotides. RefSeq lists it as uncharacterized. Lineage: Eukaryota; Metazoa; Chordata; Actinopteri; Salmoniformes; Salmonidae. The record is from RefSeq and is a predicted model, not a curated record. The transcript has 3 exons.
ACCAACUUGCCAAAUUUCUGACUUCAACUGUAUGCACUUGUGGGUAAAAAAAAAGAAAAAAAGGAAAUCAGAAAUAUUUCCUGUGGAAAAAAUGGAAGUGUUUGAUGGGACGUGCGACAUUUUGAAAGAAUGUAUUGUUAAUUGGCAGCGAACGGGGAAGAGAUAUCCCACCUAUGUCAUGGCUCUGGAUGGAAGAAAUUUGAAUGCAUUCCGGGACCAGGAGGCAAAGAAACAGCUGUGCCCAACCAAAAUGUCUGCCCUUUGCACCUUUUUAAUUAGGCGAAUACAGAUGGAGAAGGAUGUUUUAAAAAUAAUUUGAUUGAAGCUUAACAAUGAGUCGAAAUUGCUUAAAUCCACGAUUUAGGUUUAAAACUCUUUUUUUUUAACUUAAAGGGAGUAACUUGGAAGCUAAGGCCUAACUUUUUUAUUUAUUAACUCAGUG